Trichomycterus rosablanca is the source of this 3850-nucleotide RNA transcript. It is a transcript of the gene named protein IWS1 homolog, with no coding region annotated. The record is from RefSeq and is a predicted model, not a curated record. Lineage: Eukaryota; Metazoa; Chordata; Actinopteri; Siluriformes; Trichomycteridae. The transcript has 15 exons.
UCGUUUUGGUAGCUAACAGUAGCCGGUUGGUUAGCUGCUCGGCGCUCUAGCUCUAUUGUUGUGUUAUUGAUCGUGUUUACUUAUAUUAAUAUUUAUAUCGAGGUAUAUACACAAAGCGAGAUUUUAAUCCGAUAUAUGAAUAUUCAGAAGAUGGGGAGUGUAGCCUGAUCUGGGUGAGCAGGCCAGGCUCACCGUGUUGGUUAGCAUUAGCAGUGUUAGCAUUAGCAUUAGCAUUAGCACUGUUCAGAGGGACACGGCGCUGCUCCACACCGUCUCUGCUGUGAGGAAGAGUGUGUGUACAGAUGGACGGUGAGGAGGAUUCGUAUUCAGUGAAUCACUCAGACGAGGGCAGUGCCACUCCUGUGCAGGAUGAGCCGAUGGGUUCUGACGCCGAGGACGAGAGACCGGAGUCACGCCAGUCUGAGGACGACGGAAGUGACCGCGAGGGUACAGCCUCCAGUCCGGCGCCCCCCGGUGACGACAGCGAGUCGGAACCCGAGGGCGGACGAGGCGGAGCCGACAGCGACGACGACGGAGGCUCCCCUCGCAGGCGCAGAGGAAGCACGUCGGAGACGGAGGAGCAGCAGAAAGAGCGGGCCAGCGACUCGGAGAACGAGGAGCCGCGGACGAGGCGCUCAGACUCGGACGAUUCGGACGGAGAAAAGGCCAGACGGAGAGAUUCUGACGAUGAGGAUGAAGAUCAGAGGAGAAAGGCUGCCGUACGUUCAGACAGCGAGGACGAGGAGGAGAGGAAACCCAGAGCGGCGGUUCAUUCAGACAGCGAGGACGAGGAGGUGAAGAAACCUAAAGCCACGGUGGAGUCAGACAGCGAGGACGAGGAGGAGAGGAAACCCAGAGCGGCGGUUCAUUCAGACAGCGAGGACGAGGAGGUGAAGAAACCUAAAGCCACGGUGGAGUCAGACAGCGAGGACGAGGAGGUGAAGAAACCCAGAGCGGCGGUUCAUUCAGACAGCGAGGACGAUGAGGUGAAGAAACCUAAAGCUGCAGAACAUUCAGACAGCGACGAGGGCGAGGUGAAGCGGCGCAAAGCUGCUGUGAACUCGGACAGUGAGGAUGAUGAAGAGGAGAAGAAGAAGCCUAAAGCCAGAAUUCAGUCCGACAGUGAGGACGACGAGGAACCGAAGAAUAAAGACGAGGCCGGGGGCGAACAGAAAGAUGACAAGGCUGCUUCUGACAGCGAUGAUGACGACGUGCCAGUGAAGAGGAAGAAGGCCAUCCUGUCCGACAGCGAGGACGAAGACGAGCCGAAAGCAGCUGCAAAGAAAAGGAGGGCUGUAUCAGACGAUGAAGACUCUGGCAGCGACGAAGGCUCCGAGGCUCCCGAUAAGAGCGUCGCGGCCAAGCUGAGAGAGCUGGGAUCCGACAGCGAGGACGAGGACGGGACGAACACGGGCGGCGGGAAGAAAGACGAGAAGGAUCUGUUCGGCAGCGACAGCGAGUCGGAGAACGAAGAGGAAGAGAAAAUGAUCGCCGAUAUCUUCGGAGAGUCCGGUGAUGAAGACGAGGAGGAGUUCACGGGUUUUAACCAGGAGGAGCUGGAGGGCGAGAAGCAGCAGGCUCAGGCUGCGGGACAGAAGACGGUAGCUGAUGAUUCGGAUUCAGACGAGGGCGUGGAGCGAGGAGGACAUGACAUGUCCUUCAUGUCCGAUUUCGACAUCAUGCUGGCCAAGAAGAAGGCUCAGAGCGGCAAGCGCAGACGCCACAGGGACGGCGGGACGUUCAUCAGCGACGCCGAUGACGUGGUCAGCGCCAUGAUCACCAAGAUGAACGAAGCCGCCGAGGAGGAUCGCACGCUGAACAGUCAGAAGAAGCCGGCGCUGAAAAAGCUCAUGCUCCUACCCACGGUCGUCAUGCAUUUAAAGAAGCAGGACCUGAAGGAGACCUUCAUAGACAGCGGGGUGAUGACGGCGAUUAAGGAGUGGAUCGGUCCUCUGCCUGAUAAGAGCCUGCCCGCGCUGAGGAUCAGAGAGGAGCUCCUGAAGAUCCUACAGGAGUUGCCCAGCGUGAGUCAGGAGACCCUGAAGAUGAGCGGAAUCGGCCGAGCUGUGAUGUUCCUCUACAAACACCCCAAAGAAUCACGCCCCAACAAAGACCUCGCCCUGAAACUCAUCAAUGAGUGGUCGCGGCCCAUCUUCGGCCUGUCGUCUAACUAUAAGGGCAUGACCAGAGAGGAGAGGCAGCAGAGGGACCUGGAUCAGCAGGUGGCCCCCCGUCGCAGACUCAGUGAGCCUGAGAAGGUGGUGAAGCCGGAGGAACCUGACGUUUUCGGGCCCCAGCUCAGGUUUCCGGAGUCGUGAGAAUGUGCAUGUCUGACCCGAGCGCUGACGGUGUGUGAAUACUCACAGCCGACUGCAGGAAUUAAGCAUGACUGAACUCGUGUAACGUCCGGCACUGGGGUGGUGGAACUGGGUCUAGAGUUACGCCACUUUUCCGCUGCGUGCUACCCUGUGCCACGUGGUGCUCGUUUUCAUUGCCAGGUGACCCCGUACUGUACCCGGAUACCUGAGCUAGAUUCAGUCGGUCACCUUGACCAGGGAUCAUGGAUUGGUCUCUAUAUUUGAGCACCACCAGGACCACAGAGGGACACAACCUGAAAAUCAUCCUGCUGCUGGUACUGCUGUCGGUUGCAGUCACCGUGGUGUGUUUACUCUGCAGGACUGUCCCGGUUGCCAAGUAGCUCAAUAUCCCCCUCAUGCCUAACCCUAACCCAGUCGUGUGGAGGUGUUUUUCAGCACUGUAUGGCUGCUGUAACCCAAACGCUAUCCUAUAUACCACACACACGUGCAGUGAUGACACCCGCUGCCCCGGUUUCACUUGUGGUGAACCGGCUUUAGUGCACAGUUCUUGAAUCAGCCUGUUUUUGAGGAGAGGAAGAGCUCAAACAACCUGCCCAUAGAGUUUACAGUCUAGUAUUUAGGCUUCAAGCGGGUGAUACACAGCCAGAACCUCGUACUGUUCCUGCAUGAACUGGAACUGGAUCGGCUUGACUGUGUGGAAUCGAUUCAACUCACAUGCUGCUGUUUUGUACUAAAACGUAAUGUUUUACACCCUGAAGCACCAGAGCGGAUCAUGUUUAUUAGCUAAUUUUUGAUUUCUGUAGGGCUGCAAGGUGAACUAAUGAUUGUUUUGUUCUUUGAUUAAUCUGUUUGUUAUUUAUUCAUAAUAAAAUCCAACAUUUUAAUACGAUAUAACACGCAGUGCUUUUAUUUUAACAGCAUUUUAACUGCAACCCCACUGCACAAAUCGAGGUCCAUAAAGCCCUAUCCUAGAGGAGUUCGAGCCCCCACCUCAACCCCUAAAAGGGGACACUUUUGGGAUGAAUUAGCAGUGCUGAUUGCAGUUGCAAGCCAGGCUUUUUCAUUCAGCAUCAGUGCCUGACUGUACAGAUGCUCGUCUGACCGAAGGGCGGAAUUCCCACAGGCACACUCCAAAAUCUUGCCAAAAGAAUAAAUGGCAGUGGUUUUGAAACAGACUGUCAGGUGUCCACAUACUUAUGAAGUGUGUUCACGUAAGUGUGAAUUUAAAGCUCAUGGUAUGAAGCCUCGUUGGUGUGCAGCUUCGAUAGGUCACGGUUAGCCGUCGCCGACUGCCGCUCAGAGGAAUUUGGUGAGAUGAGGGCACUGAAUAGAAGUGGCAGUCGUGGUGUAAUUCAUCCCAGUUUAUUACGGGAUGGAUGAACGGUGUCAGUUCUGAGCGUCUGUGUGUGUGUGUGUGUGUGUGUGUGUGCAGCUCUGGAGGACAGACUCCUCGGCGUGACCUGGAGAAGGUGCUGACGGGAGAAGAGAAAGCGCUGAGGCCCGGCGAGCCCGGGUUCUGCGCCAGGGCGCGG